Diprion similis is the source of this 150-nucleotide long non-coding RNA. RefSeq lists it as uncharacterized. Lineage: Eukaryota; Metazoa; Arthropoda; Insecta; Hymenoptera; Diprionidae. The record is from RefSeq and is a predicted model, not a curated record. The transcript has 3 exons.
AAAAUAAAUGAAAAAGAAAACAUGAAAUUUCAAAGGAUAUUCUAGAACUUGGCAUUAUUUUCAGUAUCACUAGCCCUUAUCUCACCCUAAAACUGACCCGAACAAUACUGGGGGCGUGGAAUACGAUGAUUACGCAAUUUUCUACCUCGA